ACGCUGGCGGCACGCCUAACACAUGCAAGUCGAACGAAGUAGCAAUACUUAGUGGCAGACGGGUGAGUAACAUGUAGGUAUCUGCCCUUUGGCCUGGAAUAACACGAGGAAACUUGUGCUAAUACCGGAUAAGUCUUUACGGAGAAAGCUUUAUGCACCAUUGGAUGAGCCUGCACUUGAUUAGUUUGUUGGUGGGGUAAUGGCCUACCAAGACUGUGAUCAAUAGCUGAUUUGAGAGGAUGAUCAGCCACAUUGGGACUGAGACACGGCCCAAACUCCUACGGGAGGCAGCAGUGGGGAAUCUUGCACAAUGGAGGAAACUCUGAUGCAGCGAUGCCGCGUGAGUGAAGAAGGCCCUUGGGUUGUAAAGCUCUUUCGUCGGGGAAGAAAAUGACUGUACCCGAAUAAGAAGGUCCGGCUAACUUCGUGCCAGCAGCCGCGGUAAUACGAAGGGACCUAGCGUAGUUCGGAAUUACUGGGCUUAAAGAGUUCGUAGGUGGUUGAAAAAGUUAGUGGUGAAAUCCCAGAGCUUAACUCUGGAACUGCCAUUAAAACUUUUCAGCUAGAGUAUGAUAGAGGAAAGCAGAAUUUCUAGUGUAGAGGUGAAAUUCGUAGAUAUUAGAAAGAAUACCAAUUGCGAAGGCAGCUUUCUGGAUCAUUACUGACACUGAGGAACGAAAGCAUGGGUAGCGAAGAGGAUUAGAUACCCUCGUAGUCCAUGCCGUAAACGAUGUGUGUUAGACGUUGGAAAUUUAUUUUCAGUGUCGCAGCGAAAGCGAUAAACACACCGCCUGGGGAGUACGACCGCAAGGUUAAAACUCAAAUGAAUUGACGGGGACCCGCACAAGUAGUGGAGCAUGUGGUUUAAUUCGAAGAUACGCGCAGAACCUUACCAACACUUGACAUGUUCGUCGCGACUCUAAGAGAUUAGAGUUUUCGGUUCGGCCGGACGAAACACAGGUGCUGCAUGGCUGUCGUCAGCUCGUGUCGUGAGAUGUUGGGUUAAGUCCCGCAACGAGCGCAACCCUCACUUUUAGUUGCCAUCAUUAAGUUGGGCACUCUGAAAGAACUGCCAGUGAUAAGCUGGAGGAAGGUGGGGAUGACGUCAAGUCCUCAUGGCCCUUACGUGUUGGGCUACACACGUGCUACAAUGGUAUCUACAACAGGAAGCAAGACUGCGAAGUUAAGCAAAUCCCCAAAAGAUACCUCAGUUCGGAUUGCACUCUGCAACUCGAGUGCAUGAAGCUGGAAUUACUAGUAAUCGUGGAUCAGCGUGCCACGGUGAAUGCGUUCCCGGGUCUUGUACACACCGCC
This 1314-nucleotide ribosomal RNA is filed under the name uncultured Alphaproteobacteria bacterium. RNAcentral's name for it is "uncultured alpha proteobacterium 16S ribosomal RNA". It matches the Rfam family "Bacterial small subunit ribosomal RNA", at positions 33 to 1394 of the family's 1533-position model. Lineage: Bacteria; Pseudomonadati; Pseudomonadota; Alphaproteobacteria. The record is from RNAcentral.